RNAcentral lists this long non-coding RNA (4638 nucleotides) under Panax ginseng (ginseng). RNAcentral's name for it is "long non-coding RNA (PGIN_LNC015000)". Lineage: Eukaryota; Viridiplantae; Streptophyta; Magnoliopsida; Apiales; Araliaceae. The record is from RNAcentral.
GCACCGUUCCAUUCUUGGUUCUCUGCUCUCUUCCUCUUUCUUUCCAAAGAUUAUCCUAAACCCGUUUCAUGCUUAGUUCUUCCUAUUUCAACCUAAAAACACAAGAAUACAUCAAUUUUUGUUACAGAUCUCACCAAAUCUAUUAAGAGCUGAAGCUAUAAAUUGAAUUUAAAGGAGAAGUAAAGCAAAACACGGAUCAAGAAGAAUUCAAUUUCUACAUAAAUAAGCUUGAAGCAAGAAUUCAACUAAUAUAUCAAACAAUAAAGGUAAGUCAUGUAUCCUUGCUAAAUUUAUGAAAAUUGAAGUAGAUAAUAUAUGUUAUUGUUGUGAUUGGUUGUGGGAGUUUGGAUUACAGAACCAUGAAGGGUUCAAAAGAUAUAAGGAAGAAUAUAUAAGGAGAUGGCAUGUUAAUGUGUGUAGAUUUUAUGAAAACUAAGCUUUUGAAACUGUGCAUGCUAUGUGUUUGCUAAAAUACCUCAAUGAGGUUAUUUUGCUAAAAUAUGAGAAAUUACUUGGUUUCUCUGCAAAUUGUUGAGGAUAUGUGAGUUAUAGGGUAAAAUGCAAAGUCGACCACUGAAUUUUAGGGGUUUUUGUGUAUUGAACCAUUUUUUUUUGGUCAACGCAAAUUGAGCCCCUUUUUAUUAAAAAAUUUAGACUUUGAGCCCCAGACGCCACAUGUGCGUUGACCUGCUUAUGUGUCUGACGUGAAUAUUUUUUAUUUUAUUUUACACGUGAACGAGCUUACAUGGCCAUUUUCAAAAUUUAUUCCAAAAAUAUGUUGCUCCAUGGAUUCGAACUUAAAACCACCAACUUGAAACUUUAGUCCAAUGACCGCUCAAGCAACUCAACUUAACUACUGUUGUUUCACAAAGAUUAAUAUUUAUAAAGAAAAAAUUCAUUUCUUCCAAAUUAAAAGAAUUCAUUUCCCCCAAAUUAAAAGACAAAACAAAUCCCCAAAUUAAAUUUUUUUUUUAAUGAGAAUUAUACUGGUAUGGUGCUCAUUGCUUUUCCUAUUUAUUUAUUUCAGUAGUUUAAUUCUUUGUAUUCAGAAUAUUGUUUUGAUGAAAUAUCUCUCACGUGAAACUUGUGCAAUUGGGAAGUGAGACUCAUUUGCAAGGUCAAGGUAUAGGAUGAUUGUAUACACAAAAUAAUAAUUAACUUAAUAAUACUUUAAACGAAUAUAAUAUUUUUUUGAUGAAUUUGUAUGUUAUUUAUUAUUGAAUGCAUGUAAUACACAGUUAUAACAUGUUUAAUUUCUUAGAAUUUUGAAUUAGCUAGCAAUAACCCGUGGGCCCCAAUGCCCACCAAGUCAUCUAGAUAUCAGCAUUUGAAUUUUUGAAAUUGGAAUAAGGCGUGGGCCCUAAUUCUUCCACUGACUCCUUGACCCAAAUCAACUUUCGUGGGACCCAUGAGCCAUCAUCAGGUCAGUCACCCAUCAGUAGAAAUCCACCAGCGAGACUCGGGCACAGUCACAGCAUCAACAAACCACUAUGAACGCCGACAAAGAUAAUGAGAUCAACACAGAUUUAAACAACAUAAAACAGCUUUCACACCCACAACGAUUAUCAUCAAUUAGAUCUAAAAGGGUGGGCCAAUUAACAGAAUGGGAAUGGAAGAAAUAGCAGUUCAUAUCAUAUACUCCCCAGAAUUUGGCCAAUCAAACCAAACAAAUCGGCAGUAUCCUAGUUUAUAAACACUCAUGAACAGAUAUGUGAUAACAGUAGGAGAUAAAACGAGCAUAAAUGCACUUAGAUUAGAAACAAAUCUAAGAAUCAGAUUCGAAGCAAGCAAAUCUGAAAAGGGAUCAAAACAACCUAUGAAUUCACAGCAAUAAACAUAGGAAAUAAUGAUAAGUAAGGAAAUAAUAGGUAAAACAACAAAGACCAACCGAGCUAGCUCCACUAUUAAUGGUAUCUAAAUUUCUCAGCUUUAGUCAGAGACUGAGACUUAACAGAUCUAAGAAAAGGGAUUUUGUUUUAAUUUGGGGAAAUUCAUUGUUGAAUUAUAAAUCAUAGUCCUUGCGGAAAUAAAGCAACUAACUUGUGGUGCUCGGGUGGUCAUUGGGUCGAAAUUUAGAGUUGGAGGUCUGGAGAUCGAAUCUGAGCAGCAACAAAUUUAUGCCACAUGUAAACACAUGUAAAAUUAAAAUAAAAAUACUCCAUGUGAGCAAGUCAAAAUUCAGUAUCCAAAAACCCCUAAAAAUUAACUCAAGUAGUAUGGAUAAUUGAAAUUAAGUUCAAAAUGGUUUUGACGAAUUUCUUGCAAACUAGUGAAAACUAAAAAUUUUGUUAAACGUAGAUUUUCGAGCUCUUCCUUUUAUACCAUAAAAAUGUUUAUAAAGACCCAACCUUGGUGUAAUUGGUACCAUGAAGUGUGGCCUAGAAGUGAACAGGUUUUAAGUUCUUUGAACUUGCGAUGUGGAAGAUAUGAUUGAGAAGGUAGCAUGAGAAGCGAAAGAAAUUUGCAAAAACAGAACCCUUGCCUAUCUUAUGCCCAAUUUGGACUGCUUCAGCCUUGCCCUGAUCUCUAUUCUCUAAGUUCACCAUUUAGGUAACCUUUGAUAUUUAAAGGAUAGCUUACAGGUUCUACACACGGAAGGAGGGAGGGGGAAGUAUGAACCACAUGUCACUUCAAUAUGAUUUUGGUCGGUGAUUGUGGAGAUUACUUUGGUUUAUUUUUAUAAAUUCAAUUUUGUUAGAGUUGUACUUCUUGGGAAAUGGUUAUAGGGUAAGGGAAGUAGGAAACUCUGGGAGGCUGUAAUGGUGGGUUGUGCUCCUACGAGUUCUGGAAAUAAUUCAAUUGUAAUGAAUCAAAAAGGAGUUAAAACGAAUUUAUAGUGAAGGAUUUAGUAAAACAUGUUAGAAACUGAAAAAUUGUGAAUUGCUGACCCUAAGGACAAAUUCGAGGCUAGCUAGAGUUCCCAGAAAAAUUUGGGCUUUUGGGGUAUUAUAGUACAUUGAAUAAGCUUUCCAUAGACUCCGGAACGGACUAAUUCUGACUUCGGAGCGACGAGUUAUGCCAUUCAAAGUAGUCGCGUCAUAACUGUCCAACCAAUUCUAACCAGUCCCCUUUGCACGAAAUUCUGGAAUUUUGUGUUAAGAAUUUGAAAAUGGUCAAAGAAUAAAAGUUGUAUCCCCGGAAGUUAGCUUUGCGUGGGCUCAAGAAUCGCUCAAAAAUGUUUUGAAACGAAAAAGUUAUGAUUGUUUUACCGAGAGAGGGUACAGCUGGGUUAGUUAUAUGUUAUGUUUGUGUAGUCUUUAUUAUCUAUAUGAAUACAGUUCAUGGUUUCUUAGAACCUCCAUUUGUCUUUGAACAAACUUCUUGAAUUUGGGGGUAUGCUCACAAAUUUUACGAACAUCAAUGAUGUUUUGCUUUUAAAAAGAGGUUCUUUGUGUUAUUGAUUUGUAUUGGAGCUGGGUUUGUUGUAGUAUGGUGUGGAGUUUGUGGAAUGAAAAGUAUUUUUGGGUUCUAAAUUUUAUCUAAGUAUUGAAGUUUGUUAACAGAUUUUAGGAAUCUUUUCCAUAUAGUGAUUGUGAUGGUGAUUGGUAGAUAUAGUCACUUAUGAACUUUGGAUAAGUUUUGACACAUGAUAUAUUAUUAUGAUCUCCCACGACCAAUAGGGAAGUUUUUCUACUAUAAGCAAAUAAAUGUUGCAAAACAACUACUUGGAAUUACAAAAGAAAAUAAUAAAGUGUUUGACUAUUUUUUUAAAUAAGCCAAGUUAACGAAAUUAAUGUGAUUAAAUAUAUUCCUACGGAUAUUAUAGGAAACCUUGUGAACGAAGGAAAUAUCGUGUUCAGGGACGUCAAAACUAAUCGAGGUUAUGCGACGUAAAGUAAGAAUAUGCCAAAGUCGUGUUGAAGCCUUGUAAAUUUAUUUAAUACCCAAAAAGGACUAUAAAUACAAUGUGAAACCUCAAACUUGAGUAUAGAAUACAAGGUGUAAAUUCGAUCUAAUACGAAAAAUAAACUAAGAAUGCGAUAUGAGACCUUAAGUUGAAUAUUCAGACUAUAUCUCGGAACCAAAUGGUUUUUGAAAUGCAAAGCAAAGAUUAUGCAAAUAGAGAUAAAAACUCAUUGGUUGGCAUAAAUAAGUUAUGUAUGAAUAUAAGAUAUACAAAUAGCAUAUGUUUAGCUACAAGCUAAGAGAACAAGACAUGAUUUUUCAUUACAGGCUAGGCGUAUAUACAAAAGCAUAUAUACAUCUCAUGUAUAUCUGAAAUGGGAAAAGUAAUGUUAUGUGACAGUAUUAUUCGUGCAAAGCGAAGUCCAAGUUACUCGCGAAAACGAAAUUAAGCUAUGAAUGCAUGCAUAAAGAAAAACACAAGUGCACUAUAUGACUAUAAAUUUACAUAUAGAUGAAUAUUAAGCCUGUAAAUGGAAGGUAAUGGCAUUCUAAAAACUAUAUUGGAACCUGUUGAGGGAAAUAUGAUUAUAUUAAGCUGAAACUUAAAAUAUUUGAAAAAUAAUAUGGAAGUUUCUUGGAAAUGAGAAUAUCAGGUAUUGAUAUAACAUAUAUGAAUGUUUAAUAUCUAUACAAGAGUAUGUGGCUAAUGUAUGCAUACAUGUUAACAUAACUGUGUAGGAUUCAUGAAGUGAAGUUAAACUAAAGUUUGUAUCAAUGGUCAUUGAACAAGGC